Molecule: long non-coding RNA, 257 nt
Filed under: Ananas comosus (pineapple)
Lineage: Eukaryota; Viridiplantae; Streptophyta; Magnoliopsida; Poales; Bromeliaceae
Description: long non-coding RNA (ACOM_LNC028887)
Source: RNAcentral
GCUAUAUAAGAUAAAAAUGAGAAAGACAAUAAAUUGUUCAUCGUCUUUAAAAAAGCAGGUUAUUAAUAGAUUUUUUGUAUAAGUUGUGAGAGUUUUUAUGAGAUUGUUAGAAUUGUAUGUAGAUUACGAAUUAUAUGUGAUUUUUUCGAUCAUAUAAGAGAAACAGAAAGAAACGGCAAAAGAUUUACACGCGACGCUGAGUUGAACAAAAUAGAAUUUUGGCUAAAUAAAUUUUUUGAUAGUAUCAUUUAAAAAAU